This 398-nucleotide ribosomal RNA is filed under the name uncultured bacterium. RNAcentral describes it as "bacterial SSU rRNA". It matches the Rfam family "Bacterial small subunit ribosomal RNA", at positions 32 to 409 of the family's 1533-position model. The record is from RNAcentral.
AAUCAACGCUGGCGGCGUGCCUCAGACAUGCAAGUCGAACGCGAAAUUUCCCUUCGGGGAGAAAGUAGAGUGGCGCACGGGUGAGUAACACGUAGGUAAUUUGCCUUCGGGUGGGGAAUAACAGCCGGAAACGGCUGCUAAUACCGCAUAAUGCAGCGGCUCGACAUCGAGACAGUUGUUAAAGCGGGGGAUCGCAAGACCUCGCGCCUGAAGAGAAGCCUGCGGCAGAUUAGCUAGUUGGUAAGGUAAUGGCUUACCAAGGCAACGAUCUGUAACCGGCCUGAGAGGGCGGUCGGUCACACUGACACUGACAUACGGGUCAGACUCCUACGGGAGGCAGCAGUCGGGAAUUUUGGGCAAUGGGCGAAAGCCUGACCCAGCAACGCCGCGUGAAGGAU